CCCAUCUACACCUUCUCCAGAGUAACUAGGGGAUAGAAACAAGAACUGGUCCAGCCAGCCGCGCUCACUUCCCAUGGAUGAAUUUUUAAAGUCAUCAUUUUACACGCCAAUAUGAGGAGCAUCGCAUUGAUGAAGUAUUUCUGUUUGGUAAUGUUAGAUAUUUAACCAGUGACUGUAAUCGGAUCUCUACAUGAUUACAGUGUCUCAGUAUAACUGCAGUACAGAGACAUUUCCUCACACCCACUAUAGUCCCUCCCACUGCAGGGGGUGCAGCUCAGACUGAAAGGGAAGGGGGGAGCUGAAGAGUGCUCAGUCUGUCAGGAACUUAACACAGAAUCCAGAGCCAGACAUGUCUCUGCUCCGUCUCUUCCUCUCGCUCCUCCUCAGCAGCGCCUCAUCCAGUACCUUACCCCGACUCAAACUGAAUCUGAGGGCUGAAAUUCAAGA
This is a non-coding RNA of Chiloscyllium plagiosum (whitespotted bambooshark), 447 nucleotides long. Lineage: Eukaryota; Metazoa; Chordata; Chondrichthyes; Orectolobiformes; Hemiscylliidae. The record is from RefSeq and is a predicted model, not a curated record.